Molecule: non-coding RNA, 29 nt
Filed under: Mus musculus (house mouse)
Lineage: Eukaryota; Metazoa; Chordata; Mammalia; Rodentia; Muridae
Source: RNAcentral
UAAUGGUCCCGAUCGGAUACCUGGGAAGC